CUGAGCAGUUUAUUGGUUUUCCAUAAAGGAAACACUUGAAUAUUUUGGUAUUAUUCCCUUUAUUUAAUUUAUUUCACCGGAAGGCAGUGUAAUUUUAAUACCUUGUGAAGGAUAGGCUACGGUGGGAGGAGGAAUAAUGCUACAUAAACAGAAACAAAACCAGAAACAAAAAAAGCCAUUUAACUCCUAAACAGCAGAGAAUUGAACAGUGAGGCUGCAAGGGCAUGAUCUAUACACCUAAACUGAUUCAUUAAGCUAAAGUUGUUUUGGUGCUUAGAGC
This is a non-coding RNA of Pelobates cultripes (western spadefoot toad), 280 nucleotides long. The record is from the annotation of a GenBank genome assembly. Lineage: Eukaryota; Metazoa; Chordata; Amphibia; Anura; Pelobatidae.